RNAcentral lists this long non-coding RNA (566 nucleotides) under Rattus norvegicus (Norway rat). RNAcentral's name for it is "long non-coding RNA NONRATT029281". Lineage: Eukaryota; Metazoa; Chordata; Mammalia; Rodentia; Muridae. The record is from RNAcentral.
ACCACCUGGACCCCGAGGUGUGCAAGGAGAACAGGGUGCCACUGGACUGCCUGGUAUCCAGGGACCUCCGGGCAGAGCGCCGACGGACCAGCACAUCAAGCAGGUUUGCAUGAGAGUUGUGCAAGAGCAUUUUGCAGAAAUGGCAGCUAGCCUCAAGAGACCAGACACAGGAGCUUCUGGUCUUCCUGGGAGGCCUGGUCCCCCAGGGCCUCCCGGCCCUCCAGGAGAGAAUGGUUUCCCUGGUCAGAUGGGAAUCCGUGGCCUUCCAGGCAUUAAGGGUCCCCCUGGUGCUCUUGGCUUAAGGGGACCUAAAGACUGCCACCUCUGGGGCUAGAGAGAUGGCUCAGAGGUGAAGUUCGUCAGCUGUUCUUGCAGAGGACCAAAGCUCAGUUCCCAGUCCCCACAUCAGGAAGAUCGUGUGCACCUGUAACUCCAGCUCCAGGGGAUUCCAUACCAUCUUCUGGUGUUUGCAGGCAGCCUGCAUACACAUGCACAUGCAUACACAAAGAAACACACAUAAAACAUGGUAAAAUAAAUAUCAAAAUAAACGAUGCCCCCUUGGUGAU